GACGAACGCUGGCGGCGUGCUUAACACAUGCAAGUCGAACGGGUCUGCCCUGUUUUUUGCGGGGUGGGUCAGUGGCGAACGGGUGAGUAACACGUGAGUAACCUGCCCCUCACUUCUGGAUAACCGCUUGAAAGGGUGGCUAAUACGGGGUGUUCUGGCUGUGCCGCAUGGUGUGGCUGGGAAAGAUUCACUUUUGUGGUGGUUUGGUGGGGGAUGGGCUCGCGGCCUAUCAGCUUGUUGGUGGGGUGAUGGCCUGCCAAGGCUUUGACGGGUAGCCGGCCUGAGAGGGUGGGCGGUCACACUGGGACUGAGAUACGGCCCAGACUCCUGCGGGAGGCAGCAGGGGGGGGUAUUGCACAAUGGGCGGAAGCCUGAUGCAGCGACGUCGCGUGAGGGAUGGAGGCCUUCGGGUUGUGAACCUCUUUCGCCGGUGAAGAAGGUCCUGCUCUUUGUGGUGGGGUUGACGGUAGCCGGGUUAUGAAGCGCCGGCUAACUACGUG
This 500-nucleotide ribosomal RNA is filed under the name uncultured bacterium. RNAcentral describes it as "partial 16S ribosomal RNA". It matches the Rfam family "Bacterial small subunit ribosomal RNA", at positions 28 to 507 of the family's 1533-position model. The record is from RNAcentral.